GCUUGGAAUUCUCAUCAUCGUCGAAUGGCCUCGAUUCUCCUAGACUCUCUUUUUUUGUCAAGAAAGACAUCGCUCAGAUCCAAUCUCUCUGCGUCGAGAUGGAUUGCCUCUGGAGAUCCGUCACUUCCAAACCCCAACGUGAUCUCUGGAAGCGAAAAGUAAAACAGGGAGCUG
This is a long non-coding RNA of Telopea speciosissima, 174 nucleotides long. RefSeq lists it as uncharacterized. The record is from RefSeq and is a predicted model, not a curated record. Lineage: Eukaryota; Viridiplantae; Streptophyta; Magnoliopsida; Proteales; Proteaceae. The transcript has 3 exons.